GCUAGAACAAACAUGAAUUAUUUGAACUUUUGAUUGAAACAGUCAGAUUUGCCUGUUUCAUUUAAAAGUUAAGACUGCCAAGUAAUGCUACUCUUUGACAACUUUUUGCCACUUUCCAAAAGAUGCUAUGGAACAAUUACAGGAAUGGUAUUCCAACAUUAGAAUUUUUCCUAUAAAUUGUAAUAGAUGAAAAUAAUAUUGGAGAAAGGAAAUCAGUGGACCAGGUGAAUCUGAGACCUGUGGACAUUCAUUUACUUGUUCAGAAGGUGUAAAAACAUUUGAGAUUAUGCAACUUUUAAGGAUUGAGUUUAGCCUAUUAUUGAUUUAUAUGAUAUGUGGCAUAUCCUAUGCGAACGAUGUCAUGAGAAGAAUAUGUGCUGUGAGAUGGUUGUCAUGGCAUAAUGAGUUUUCCGGUCAUUCGUUUUUGCGUACGUUCAGAUGGUUUCCAGCAAGAAGCAUCUUUAUCUGUCGAACUUAAAGUUCUCAAAUGCUCUUUACAUAUAUAUUUAUAUCUAUAUAUUUAUUUAUUUCUUUUUCUUUACUCUUGUUCAUACGGUGACAUUUUAUGAAGAGAUUCCGAUGGGGAAAAUCAAAUCAAGCCGUAUACUGGAAAAAUCAGCAACUCUCAAUCCAUUAGAUGACCGUCGGCUGCUUCGGUUUUGCCCGGCGUCGAUUUAUCAUGGUGACCAUAAUGGACAUUACUCUUACUGGACAUUUUCUGUUGAUUCACGAACUGUUAAGUUAAUCUGGGGCUUCUUCAUUCGGCUCCUGGUUGCGACUGGCAUCAGUGACUACAAUGUCUUCGUCCGGAUUCUCAGAAAGUUCUCCUGUCUGAGGUUCCUUAUUUGUCAUUAGACCAUCCAUUGUUAUACCCGGAUCACAGUGUAUGAACACAUCGCGUCCGGCUGCAGUGACCAGGGCGGGCUGAAAUUGGUGACAACACGUAUAUACCAGGAAUGGAGCUUAACGUUUUGCAUAGAUGAAGAACAGAAUAAGAAAGAAUCAAAACAAGAACUGCAUACAACUACAGCAAAAAGAUUGGAAAAACUUGCGUAAUGUACCAGGUCACCAAUAGGUGUCAGGGGUGUCUGGUGUCGCCACUUUUGUCGCCACUUGUGUCGGUGAAAGAAAACGCAUCCCUUUUUGGCCGAAAAUGCGACGGGCCUGUUCCGGUUUAUCGAUGAAGACUGUGUUGAGUUGGAAGUUGGAACUGAGUUACUCAUCUCCACAAGGAAAGUACACACGAAAACCAUUGAUACUUAACAUCCAUCACAUUGAAAAAUCCUCGAAUGAAUUUUACUUUAUUCCGUGCUAGUUGACAGUUGAUACCAGAGAUUUGGGAACAACAAAGGUUACUGUUACACUGUUAAGUUUAGGAAACUUUUCAGCCACUUCUCUGGGAAUGUCGAUAGAAAUGGUAUACAGUAAAAUCAUGUUAAUGAUGAAACAAGAGGGCAUAGCCUGGAAGAGCUGCAACUGCUGUAGCUCAGAUGUCAGCAGAUUUGUAAAUCGGCUGUAUCUGCUGUGGGAAAUAAGACUACUGAGGUUGCAUAGAUGUUACUGAGAUGAGCUUCAUCUAAAUGCUGGCAAAGCUUAUCUGUCAAAUAGAAACAGAAUAAACAGGAAUAGGUUGAAAUUGAGCCCGAAAUACCCACAUUGUGAUGAAUUAUUGCAUAUUAACAUGCAGAUAACUGUAACAAGUGUGACUCUUGUUGAGAAAAGGAUUGAAACAAUAGCGGACGAAAAGGAAACUGCUUUAAAACCGGUUUUGAAUGACACCAGCUAUUCCGAUGACGAUGUUUGGGAACCGAGCAUUUGAAAAGAAAAAACCCGUAUUCCAGUUACUAAGCCUUCACGACAUUCGACAAACAAAAAGGAAAAGGCUAAAGUAAGACAUCGUCCCUUUGCUGCUUUGGGGGACCACCGUCGCCAAAAGAGAAAUCACUUCAUCUAUAGAUUUGGUAGGUGAAAAGCCAAAUAGAUAAAUUUCUUGCACGGAGUAAGCAACAGAACCGUUCAUGGAAGCUGAUUUCGAUGAGACGCAAGUGCUGAUUCGUCUGAUGGUCGAUUAUGCCAACAUGGCAGCCAAGAAACAUGCCUUGCUCAAUCGGAUUGAAAUCGUGACAUCGGAAAAAGGAGUCUUCUUCUGGAAGAACUGUCCAGUCGCAACCAGUAUGUUGCCACGCUACUGCCUAUUCGCGCUGGAGCUUGCCGAACUUAAAGCUAUUGCGUAGCACUGAGCUAUUUAUUAGUUAUAGCUUUGGCAUUAUGAAGAGUGUUGUUCAUCUAUUUGUUCUUGUUUUUUUUUUUUUCCUGAAAUUGAAUAUUCACAAAAUUUUGUAUGUUUGUAAAUGGGUAAAAUCUAUUCAGAUUGGUAUCAUGAAGUAUGACUGUAGGAAAGGGUACAUAGGCUUCUAAAAGUGAAGAACAGCUCUGAUGUCUUUGGUAAGCGGAAAAUGAACUGCAUUUUGAAGCUUCAGAUGACGGUUUUAAGACUCUUUCGUUUGCUUUGCCCAAUGAAUCUGUACUUGGAACUGGCAGGUGGCGUUAUUCUUAAAACCCAGAGGUGUUUUUCAUUUUUCAGGGGGAUUGAUUGAUGAUUCUUGUUGGUUAGACCAUGAAGAAAACCAAUACAUGGAUAAGUGGAGGAUUAUAACAGCAAAAAACUGUAAUUCCUCAUGGCAUUUUCAUUCACGCAUGCGUGGUAGUUCGUGAGCAGACGAACCAUUGAAAGAACCUUGUGCAGUCUAGCUGCAUCCAGCCAGAUACCAGUAGAACCCGAAACAUUGUUUUGACAAGUACUGCCAUAUUUCGGUUGCAGGUUUUCACUAAAUACCAAGUAAGUUACGGGUUUAAUCAUGAUGAAUGUAUGAUUUUUCGAUUCAAAUCUAUUUAGGUGUCAGAACUGAAAUUGUACUUUUAAAACACUGCAUAACUUUUAUUAACAAUAGUUUACUUUUACAACUAUCAAAAUCUUGUUAACCACUUAAAGGAGAACAAAGCUAAUUUUUUUAGAUUUCCUGAAUUUCAACUUUCGCUUUUAAAGUGCCAAAUAACUCCUUAUUUGUUGGUCUGUCAGAAAAAAGAUUCACAUUUUCGUGAUCCUCAUCAAAUUUGGGGUCGAAUCCAUGGAUCAGCUCCACUCCAAAUACCCGAAAGUCGUCAAAAAUCGCAAAUUUUCCUGAACAUGUUCAUGAAAAAUCUCGACUUUUGGCUAAAAACACGUCAUUCCAAUCCCAAAUUUGAUAAGGAUCAUGGCAAUUCUACUCUCUUUGUUAUAGAAUCACUAUUUCCGGAGAUAUGGGCUACUUCCGGUUACUUCAGGGAAAUUUUCGUGACGAUAUGCAAAAAGUAAAAAAUGAGCUGUAUUAUUCUAACAAUUUCAAAUGUUUUUCUUGCAUGCGUUAGGGUGUUGCAACUUUUAUUCCGUGUUAUUCUUGCUAUCAAUAGUACAGACUUACCCUACGAUCAACGACAGUUUUCGCUACAACCGCCUCGUCUUGCAACUAGUAGUUGAUAUUCUAGGUUUAAUGUUUAAAAUUGGAAUCAACUGUCUAAGGCGGAAAAACUAGAUGGCGUUGACGUUCGUGUAUGAUAAAUAUUACGAGUGACAAGUCAAAUGGGUGUUUGUUACGUUUCUACCCUGUUUAGUGUUUCAAAGGAUUUUUCGUCAAAAAUUUAGCGAGUUUCGCCUUGUCAGCUGCUGAACCAGUAGCCUGCAUUCCUGCUAUCAAUGUACCACAAGGGAUGCUGACACUUAAAAAAUACAAACAGUGACCACUAUACCCGAGACAUGAACAUCACCAUCCUGUUAAGAGUCUUCGUCUACUAUGUGUUAUGAACCAUCUGUCCUUAGCAUCCAAUGUUUCCAGAUUUUAAAGCUUCUCUGCUUAGCCAACCAUUCUCCAUACACUUCAGCUCUUCAUUGUGGCUUCUCUUCCUCUCUUCUUAGCCUGAUGAAUGCCAACAGGCAUAAAGGUUCAUCUCCAUUGCCUUACCAUGGAAUGGAACUUAUCGUUGUUAAUCCUGCUGCCAAAUCGUCUUCCCGUACGAGUCAUGCAGUUUUAGAUUCCUUAUGGAAUUUCCUUGCAACAUCCACCCAGGCUGAAAAGGGCAUCCUACCAGUUGUUUGGACCAUACCUGCCUCUCCUCGCCGUCUUCGCCCCGCCUUCCUCGCUCAACCGUCUUCGCUUUGCCUUCUUCAAGUUGAUCGUCUUUGCCUCGCCGUCUUCGACUCAUCGUCAUUGCCGCAUCGUUUUUGCUCCCGCCCGGCUUCUCCUCAUCGCCGUCAUCGUGGAACCUCGCGUUUUUGGUAGUUUGUUUUGUUUUGUAUUGUUGUAUGACUAUGUUUAAAGUUAACCCGUUGGCUGCCACCCAUUUUGCUCCCCUUUUUUUUUUAGUUGUAGGGACCGGCGGCGCUGUUCUGCCCCAUGGUUGAUCACCCAUGGGGUGGGACAGUCGCCUUGCGCCUUAGGGCGCCGUAGGCAAUGCACCAGUAGGGACUUCCCUUUGUCGAUGCGAUGAUGGAGUACCUGGGGUGUGCAUUCCCGUAAAGGUCUCCAUCGUCAAGUCAGCCCGGACUUGUCUUCGGACAAGUCCCCCUUUCAUCGGAUCCCUCUGAAACGAUGCGUAGUUAUUGUAGAAGAACAACCUAUGGGUUGUAAUGGCUUGGCAGCCAACGGGUUAACUUAAGUGUUUAUUUUUGUAUGCAUGUAUGUAUUGUAUUUAUUGUAUAACAUGUGAUGUAAAACUGUGGUGGAAUUGUGGGUGGAGGUGGGAUAAUACAUAACCAAUUCCAUUUA
Molecule: unclassified non-coding RNA, 4802 nt
Filed under: Daphnia magna
Lineage: Eukaryota; Metazoa; Arthropoda; Branchiopoda; Diplostraca; Daphniidae
Description: uncharacterized LOC116921422, transcript variant X1
Source: RNAcentral